Molecule: transfer-messenger RNA, 423 nt
Filed under: Candidatus Uhrbacteria bacterium
Lineage: Bacteria; Candidatus Uhriibacteriota
Rfam family: transfer-messenger RNA
About the family: Bacterial tmRNA, also known as 10Sa RNA or SsrA, is named for its dual tRNA and mRNA-like properties.
Source: RNAcentral
GGGGAUGAAUCAGCAUCGACGACGUUCGUUCCAUUUCGUUGCAAGCCGGACGCGCCUACGAGUCCGUAAUCCACGUAGGUACAAUGACAACUGCCAACGUCAUUUCAAAGGUUCAGGACGCGAUCGCUUCGGCUUUCCGCGCCCCGUCCUUCGCUCCGGUCCUCGCCUAACCGCGACUGUGGCCGGCCAGUCCCUCUUCCUCUGUUCCCGAGGUAGAGAUCGACUGUCAUAAAUGGGAACUUGGUCGCGAGCGCGGUUUCCCGCUCAUGACGACAGGCCCCGGAAACUUGGUUCCUGCGCUCUCGUCGGCUCCAUGCCGCAGGAAUGACACCCGACGUGCGUUGGGAUGAGUCGUCCAAGCUUGUGAAUGAAACGUCUUGGUCUUAUGUUCGGACCCGGGUGCGAUACCCGGCAUCUCCACCA